RNAcentral lists this transfer RNA (73 nucleotides) under Paramuricea clavata. It matches the Rfam family "tRNA". From Rfam's summary of the family: Transfer RNA (tRNA) molecules are approximately 80 nucleotides in length. Their secondary structure includes four short double-helical elements and three loops (D, anti-codon, and T loops). The record is from Rfam by way of RNAcentral. Lineage: Eukaryota; Metazoa; Cnidaria; Anthozoa; Malacalcyonacea; Plexauridae.
GACAGCGUAGCUCAGUUGGAAGAGUAUUGGGCUAGUAUUCCAAAGGUCGUAGGUUCGAAUCCCACCGUGGCCG